This 1505-nucleotide long non-coding RNA is filed under the name Anser brachyrhynchus (Pink-footed goose). RNAcentral's name for it is "lncRNA (ENSABRG00000011574.1)". The record is from RNAcentral. Lineage: Eukaryota; Metazoa; Chordata; Aves; Anseriformes; Anatidae.
GGCAACUGUGAGGGACUGGGAAGGGAUCAGGGGGGUUAUACUGGAACUGGGAGGAUUAUACUGGUAACUGGGAGGACUGGGAGGGUCAUACUGGGACAAACUCAGAGAUCCAGACCGCUACUGGGAGAGCCAUACUGGAAGUGGACAAGCCAUCCCAGUACCAAACGCACCCCACUGGUACUGGGGGGGGGGGCACAUACUGGUCCAGGAACCCCCCCAUACUGGUCUCAGUGACCCUAUACUGGUCUUGGGACCUCCAUACUGGUUGUAGAAUCCCCUUACUGGUCCCGGAGCCCCCCAUACUGGUCUCAAGACCCUCAUACUGGUCCCCAUACUGGUCUUACGGUUCCCACACUGGUCCUUGCCCCCCCAUACUGGUCUCAGUGUCCCCAUACUGGUCUCAGAACCCUAAUACUGGUCCCCAUACUGGUCUUAGGGCCCUGUACUGCCCCCAUACUGGUCCUAAAGUCUCCAUACUGGUCCCGGAGCCCCCCAUACUGGUCUUAGCAUCUUCAUACUGGUCUCAGGGCCCCUAUAUUUGUCCCUGGAUGCCCAUACUGGUCCCCAUACUAGUCCGUACUGGUCCUAGGACCCCUGUACUGGUCUGCAGGCCCCCAUACUGGUCUUAGAGCCCCAUACUGGUCCCUGUCACCCCAUACUGGUCUGAAGACACCCAAACUGGUCCCUAUACUGGUCUUAGGACCCCACACUGGUCCCUACCGGCCCCAUACUGGUCUUGGGGUCCCCUUACUGGCCCCCAUACUGGUCUUCGGGCCCCAUACUGGUACCUACCGACCCCAUACUGGUCCUUAGCCCCCCCCAUACUGGUCCCAGUCCCCCCAGUACCGCUCCCGGCCCCGGCCCCAAGGCCCCACCCGGGCCCUGUGGAUCCCCCCCCCCCGCCUCGGGUCCCGGCCCCUCACCUGCAGGCGGCGGCGGCGGCAGCGGCGCUGGAGCGGGCGGAGGCCGGGGCCCGGAGGCCCGGGGCCGGGAGGCCUCGGGGGGGGGGGAGGCUCCGGAGGCUCCGGCGGCGGCGGCGGCGCCGCGGGGGUUCCCCAGGCCAGGCCACACAAAAUGGCGGCCACAACAAACCGCCGCCGCCGCCACCGCCGCGCACGCGCGGCCACGCCCCUCGGCCGGGCCCCUUAGCCAAUCGGCGGGGAGGACGCCCGCAAGCCACGCCCAGCCGGGGGAAGGACCCGCCCCCCCGCGCGCAGGGCGCGUGCGCGGCACCGCCUCUCACCCCGCCCGACGGGGGUAACCGCCUCCUGUUCGAUGUGCGCAUGCGCAUCACCGCCCCCUCCCCCUGAGGUAACCGCCCCCCAUUCUAUCUGCGCAUGCGCCUCGUCCCUCCUACUCCCCCCUCCCACCAGAGAUACCCACCCCGUUUUCGAUCUGCGCAUGCGCACCACUUCCCCCUCCAGCUCCUCCCCCUCCCUCCCCUAAACUCCCGCCCUUUCUACUCUGCGCAUGCGCACCCCUUUCCCCCUCUCUCCCCCCUCCCA